RNAcentral lists this transfer RNA (73 nucleotides) under Camelus bactrianus (Bactrian camel). It matches the Rfam family "tRNA". Rfam says of the family: Transfer RNA (tRNA) molecules are approximately 80 nucleotides in length. The record is from Rfam by way of RNAcentral. RNAcentral also lists the same sequence under 3 other names. Lineage: Eukaryota; Metazoa; Chordata; Mammalia; Artiodactyla; Camelidae.
GAGGGUAUAGCUCAAGUGGUAGAGCACAUGCUUAGCAUACACAAGGUCCUGGGUUCAAUCCCCAGUAUCUCCU